This 510-nucleotide long non-coding RNA is filed under the name Homo sapiens (human). RNAcentral's name for it is "non-protein coding lnc-ZCCHC13-15:1". Lineage: Eukaryota; Metazoa; Chordata; Mammalia; Primates; Hominidae. The record is from RNAcentral.
AUGCUCCCCCAGCCAGGGAUGACAGCAGCACCCUACCCAACACAGUACCCACCACCUUACUCGGCCCAGCCCAUGGGCCCGCCGGCCUACCAGGAGACGCUGGCUGGAGGAGCAACCGCGCCAUACCCCACGAGCCAGCCUCCUUACAACCCGGCCUACAUAUAUGCCCCGAAGGCGGCUCCCGGAGCGUGCCCCGGCCUCUCCGGCUGCCACUAGAUUAUGUUGUGUGUGUGUGUGAGUGGUGUGCAAGCACGGUUCCUUACGCCCCGUGCGUGCUGUGUGUGUCCUGCCUGUAUAUGUGGCUUCCUUUGAUGCUGACGAGGUGGGGAACGUUCCUUGCCAGAGUGGGCUGGGACCAGACUUUCUUCUCUUCCUCACCUGAAAUUAUGCUUCCUAAAAUCUCAAGCCAAACUCAAAGAAUGGGGUGGGGAGCACCCUGUGAGGUGGCCCCUGAGAGGUGGGGGGCUCUCCAUGGCACAUCUGGAGUUCUUUUCCAGCUUACCCUAGGGU